AGAAUGAACGCUGGCGGCGUGCUUAACACAUGCAAGUCGAACGGAAUACAAGGAGCUUGCUCCGAACUAUUUAGUGGCGAACGGGUGAGUAUCACGUGAGCAACCUGCCCCGAAGACUGGGAUAACACCGGGAAACCGGUGCUAAUACCGGAUGUCUUUCAACGGUCGCAUGAUCGAGGAAAGAAAUGUUUUUUCGCUUUGGGAGGGGCUCGCGGUCCAUCAGCUUGUUGGCGGGGUAACGCCCACCAAGGCUACGACGGAUAGCUGGUCUGAGAGGACGAUCAGCCACACUGGAACUGAGACACGGUCCAGACUCCUACGGGAGGCAGCAGUGGGGAAUCUUGCGCAAUGGACGAAAGUCUGACGCAGCAACGCCGCGUGAGGGACGAAGGCUUUCUGAGUUGUAAACCUCUUUCGACUAGGAACGAUUGUGACGGUACCUGUAGAAGAAGCACCGGCCAACGUAUGUGCCAGCAGCCGCGGU
RNAcentral lists this ribosomal RNA (484 nucleotides) under uncultured bacterium. RNAcentral's name for it is "SSU rRNA". It matches the Rfam family "Bacterial small subunit ribosomal RNA", at positions 26 to 521 of the family's 1533-position model. The record is from RNAcentral.